CGCGGGAUAGAGCAGUAGGCAGCUCGUCGGGCUCAUAACCCGAAGGUCGCAGGUUCAAAUCCUGCCCCCGCCACCA
Molecule: transfer RNA, 76 nt
Filed under: Acidimicrobiaceae bacterium
Lineage: Bacteria; Bacillati; Actinomycetota; Acidimicrobiia; Acidimicrobiales; Acidimicrobiaceae
Description: tRNA-Met
Rfam family: tRNA
About the family: Transfer RNA (tRNA) molecules are approximately 80 nucleotides in length.
Source: RNAcentral